GAUGAAGAACGUAGCGAAAUGCGAUAAGUAGUGUGAAUUGUAGAAUUCAGUGAAUCAUCGAAUCUUUGAACGCACAUUGCGCCCCUUGGUAUUCCAUGGGGCAUGCCUGUUCGAGCGUCAUUUGUACCCUCAAGCUUUGCUUGGUGUUGGGCGUCUUGUCGUAUUACGACUCGCCUUAAAUACAUUGGCAGCCGGCACUUUGGCCUAGGAGCGCAGCACAUUUUGCGAUCGUAGCCCGUUGUACUGGCGUCCAUCAAGAACAUUUACCACGUUUGACCUCGGAUCAGGUAGGGAUACCCGCUGAACUUAAGCAUAUCAAUAAGCGGAGGA
This 330-nucleotide unclassified non-coding RNA is filed under the name soil metagenome. Its description in RNAcentral is "partial contains 5.8S ribosomal RNA, internal transcribed spacer 2, and large subunit ribosomal RNA". The stretch from base 1 to 120 matches the Rfam family "5.8S ribosomal RNA", at positions 35 to 154 of the family's 154-position model. The record is from RNAcentral.